RNAcentral lists this ribosomal RNA (459 nucleotides) under uncultured bacterium. Its description in RNAcentral is "partial 16S ribosomal RNA". It matches the Rfam family "Bacterial small subunit ribosomal RNA", at positions 338 to 795 of the family's 1533-position model. The record is from RNAcentral.
CCUACGGGUGGCAGCAGUGAGGAAUAUUGGUCAAUGGGCGAGAGCCUGAACCAGCCAAGUCGCGUGAGGGAAGACGGUCCUAUGGAUUGUAAACCUCUUUUGCCGGGGAGCAAAAAGCGGUACGUGUACCGCAUCGAGAGUACCCGGAGAAAAAGCAUCGGCUAACUCCGUGCCAGCAGCCGCGGUAAUACGGAGGAUGCGAGCGUUAUCCGGAUUUAUUGGGUUUAAAGGGUGCGCAGGCGGCGGGUUAAGUCAGCGGUAAAAGUUCGGGGCUCAACCCCGACGAGCCGUUGAAACUGGCUUGCUAGAGUGGGCGAGAGGUAUGCGGAAUGCGCGGUGUAGCGGUGAAAUGCAUAGAUAUCGCGCAGAACUCCGAUUGCGAAGGCAGCAUGCCGGCUCCACACUGACGCUGAGGCACGAAAGCGUGGGUAUCGAACAGGAUUAGAUACCCGUGUAGUC